RNAcentral lists this ribosomal RNA (253 nucleotides) under uncultured bacterium. RNAcentral describes it as "partial 16S ribosomal RNA". It matches the Rfam family "Bacterial small subunit ribosomal RNA", at positions 524 to 776 of the family's 1533-position model. The record is from RNAcentral.
UACAGAGGGGGCAAGCGUUAUUCGGAAUUAUUGGGCGUAAAGGGCGCGUAGGCGGCUUUUCAAGUGACGGGUGAAAUCCCUCGGCUUAACCGAGGAACUGCCUGUCAGACUGGAAGGCUUGAGACCGGGAGAGGUGAGUGGAAUUCCCAGUGUAGCGGUGAAAUGCGUAGAUAUUGGGAGGAACACCAGUGGCGAAGGCGGCUCACUGGACCGGAACUGACGCUGAGGCGCGAAAGCCAGGGGAGCAAACGGG